AGCCUCAUGCUCACAGUGGCCUGGCAGCCUUUGGAACCAGGUCUGUCUUGUUCCAAAGCCCACAAGAGAGGAUUAACUACGUGAUCAUCUGAAGCCUAGGAAUCCCUUUGAUAAAUACCAGCAACCUAGCCACAGUAGAUGUGAGCUCCACCCUCAGGAAACCUCCCAGGCAUACUGAGGUGAUAAAAGACACCAGACAGAAAAGAAAAGCAUCAGUCAUAGAACACUAAUCCUCAGACCACCCUCCCAGGCCCUGCUCUGCAAACAGAACCAGCAGGCUUUCUGUCAUCUCAGGCGGCUCCUCCUCUAGUCCAGCAGUGUCCUGUGCCCAUCCUGGCUCCUUAGCUGAGCUGGGGAUUCAAUAAGGAAGAUUAACAAACCUGGAAGGCCAAGUUCAUACCUGUCACUACCACUGUCCCCAUAGAACCGCUUCACCAUCUUGCCUGCCAAGAUAUGGUGUUGUCUUUACGAUAACUGAACAAUGGUCCAGGACCUGAGUCUGCUGGCUUUUAUGGUGCCUUCCUAGAACUAACCCAGAUGAUGGGCAUGAAAUCAGCCCUGCAGACAUAGAAACAAUCUCCUGAACCAGACAGAGUCAAGAUAGAGCUCUUCAAACUACAGCCUUCCUGAGCAUCCUUCCUUCCUUGGAGAUGGAACCAAGGUCAUCACAAGUCAGCGCGGGAUGAGACUGUCUCAUGUACACCAGGACUGGCCUUGAACUUCAGAUCCUCCUGCCUCUCUGCCUUCCAAGUGCUGGGGUUCCGGACAUGCAGGAUGAUGUCUGGCUGGUGUGCCAAGUUCUCAAGCAUGAAAGAGAGCACUCCUACUUGUAUUUGGCUGGGACACCUCAAGGAUCACAAAACGAAACACUCUCUCAUCAUCCUUUUCCUUGCAAGCAGCAGUACUGCCGCAUAGACAUGAAGACUGGCUUUGAGUCUCUCCUGGAGCGUGGGACCUGGAUGGCAGACAAUGAGUGCAGGAAGAAGAGGACUGGCUUUGAAAAGGAGACCAUGUGAAGCUGUAUUCCAGCAUGCCAGAGACACACACUGGGUGUUCCCAAAUGCAAGAACGCACACUUAGCCGCCUCCAAAUCUUGACUGGACCUAACUAAAUAUAUAUUUCUACAUGCCCUUUUCUCUCAGAAGCUUAAAUUGCCAGAAAUACGCCAGAACCUGGAAACAACCUAGAUGUCCUUCAAUGGAAGAAUGGAUGAAGAAAGUGUGGAAUACAUACACAUUAGAGUACUACUCUGCGGUGAAAAACAAUGGCUUCUCGAAUUUUGCGUGCAAAUGGAUGGAAAUAGAAAACACUAUCCUGAGUGAGAAUUUCAUGUAGCCCAGCCUGGCUGAGAACCCCGGAAGCCUACUGAGGCUUGGCCGUUAACUACUGUCCCCUUGCCUGCCUGCUUCCUACCGGUACCACCAUUGCUGACUUUAGGUGACCUUUCCAGCUUUUUGUCUGUUCUAGCAUGAAAGCCUGUGAUGCUGCAAUGUUUAAGGGCUGCUUCUGCUGCACCGCACCCUGUUUUAUUUACCAGCAGCCCUUGCUUCACAUGCGACUGAGGGGUCAUGAAAAUGAGGAUGCAAAUUCGCAGCGUGCCAAGUGAUCUUAAUAGCAAGAGGGAAAAAUCGAAAAUUUUCUGGGACCUUUAAAAAGAUUUUACCAUACUAUUAAAAAUUCUCACUGUCAAGCGAAAGAGUCUCACUGUAAGUUAUAAAUGUGUAGGCAAUUUCACAAAUGAUGAAACUGAUACUUUAAAGUUUCCUAUAAUUUAAAAUAAUAUGCACAUUACAGUGUUUGCUUCUUUGUAAAUAUUUGUCUGUGAAUACGUUUGGGAAAACUAAAAAGUUCAGAAGGCCGAUGGGAGUGGCAGUUCUACUCUGUGGAAAUGUGUUCAUACUAUACUUAAAGACUGUGAAAUGCAGCCUGGCAGUGGUGGUGCAUGCCUUUAAUCCCAACGCUAAGGAGGAAGAGGCAGGCAGAUCUCUAUGAGUUUGAGGCUAGCCUGGUUUACAGAGAGAGUUCCAGGACAGGCUCCAAAGCUACACGGAGAAACCCUAUCUUGAAAAACAAACAAACAAAAAAAAAAUUGUGAAAUGCCAACUCUUGUGUUAUGUAUAUAUUCACACAAUUAAAAUCUUACCAGAAGUCAUUUGAACAGUGCUUUGUACU
Alexandromys fortis (reed vole) is the source of this 2172-nucleotide long non-coding RNA. RefSeq lists it as uncharacterized. The record is from RefSeq and is a predicted model, not a curated record. Lineage: Eukaryota; Metazoa; Chordata; Mammalia; Rodentia; Cricetidae. The transcript has 7 exons.